RNAcentral lists this ribosomal RNA (253 nucleotides) under uncultured prokaryote. RNAcentral's name for it is "partial 16S ribosomal RNA". It matches the Rfam family "Bacterial small subunit ribosomal RNA", at positions 525 to 777 of the family's 1533-position model. The record is from RNAcentral.
ACGAAGGGUGCAAGCGUUACUCGGAAUUACUGGGCGUAAAGGGCGCGUAGGCGGCCUGCUAAGUCGAACGUGAAAUCCCUGGGCUCAACCCAGGAACUGCGUCCGAUACUGGUUGGCUUGAAUCCGGGAGAGGGAUGUGGAAUUCCAGGUGUAGCGGUGAAAUGCGUAGAUAUCUGGAGGAACACCGGUGGCGAAGGCGACAUCCUGGACCGGUAUUGACGCUGAGGCGCGAAAGCCAGGGGAGCAAACGGGA